CCCUUAGAUGUCCUGGGCCGCACGCGCGUUACACUGAUGCAUUCAACGAGCUUAUAACCUUGGCCGAGAGGCCUGGGCAAUCUUGUUAACGUGCAUCGUGAUAGGGAUAGAUUAUUGAAAUUAUUAAUCUUGAACGAGGAAUUCCUAGUAAACGCAGAUCAUCAAUCUGCAUUGAUUACGUCCCUGCCCUCUGUACACACCGCCCGUCGCACCUACCGAUUGGAUGGUCCGGUGAAGCCUCGGGAUUGUGGUUCUUGCCGCUUUAUUGUGGCGUGACCGCGAGAACUUGUCUAAACCUUAUCAUCUAGAGGAAGGUGAAGUCGUAACA
RNAcentral lists this ribosomal RNA (328 nucleotides) under uncultured eukaryote. RNAcentral describes it as "partial 18S ribosomal RNA". It matches the Rfam family "Eukaryotic small subunit ribosomal RNA", at positions 1470 to 1796 of the family's 1831-position model. The record is from RNAcentral.